AAGUCUUUGAACCGGGUAAAAGUCGUAACAAGGUUUCCGUAGGUGAACCUGCGGAAGGAUCAUUA
RNAcentral lists this ribosomal RNA (65 nucleotides) under Steinernema sp. K8 EEL-2011. Its description in RNAcentral is "partial 18S ribosomal RNA". It matches the Rfam family "Eukaryotic small subunit ribosomal RNA", at positions 1767 to 1831 of the family's 1831-position model. The record is from RNAcentral. Lineage: Eukaryota; Metazoa; Nematoda; Chromadorea; Rhabditida; Steinernematidae.